GAUGAACGCUAGCGGCAGGCCUAAUACAUGCAAGACGAAUGGUAAGUUGAGUAGCAAUACUCGACCUAGAGUGUCGUACGGGUGCGUAACACGUAUGCAACCUACCCAUAACAGGAGGAUAGCUCCCCGAAAGGGGAAUUAACCCUCCAUAGUAAUAUUGAAUGGCAUCAUUUGGUAUUUAAAACUCCGGUGGUUAUGGAUGGGCAUGCGUCUGAUUAGUUAGUUGGCGGGGUAACGGCCCACCAAGGCGAUGAUCAGUAGGGGAACUGAGAGGUUGAUCCCCCACACUGGCACUGAGAUACGGGCCAGACUCCUACGGGAGGCAGCAGUAGGGAAUAUUGGUCAAUGGAUGGAAGUCUGAACCAGCCAUGCCGCGUGCAGGAAGAAGGCCUUAUGGGUUGUAAACUGCUUUUGCCAGGGGAUAAAAUAGCUGUGCGCAGCGAAUUGCAGGUACCUGGUGAAUAAGCCACGGCUAACUACGUGCCAGCAGCCGCGGUAAUACGUAGGUGGCAAGCGUUGUCCGGAUUUAUUGGGUUUAAAGGGUGCGUAGGCGGCCCUGUAAGUCAGUGGUGAAAUACUCCAGCUUAACUGGAGGGGUGCCAUUGAUACUGCAGGGCUUGAGUGGAGUAGAAGUAGGCGGAAUUGACGGUGUAGCGGUGAAAUGCUUAGAUAUCGUCAAGAACACCGAUAGUGAAGACAGCUUACUAUGCUUCAACUGACGCUGAGGCACGAAAGUGUGGGGAUCAAACAGGAUUAGAUACCCUGGUAGUCCACACUGUAAACGUUGAUGACUCGCUGUUGGCGAUACACAGCCAGCGGCCAAGCGCAAGCGAUAAGUCAUCCACCUGGGGAGUACGCCGGCAACGGUG
RNAcentral lists this ribosomal RNA (869 nucleotides) under uncultured bacterium. Its description in RNAcentral is "bacterial SSU rRNA". It matches the Rfam family "Bacterial small subunit ribosomal RNA", at positions 28 to 896 of the family's 1533-position model. The record is from RNAcentral.